GAUGAAGAACGCAGUGAAAUGCGAUAAGUAGUGUGAAUUGCAGAAUUCAGUGAAUCAUCGAAUCUUUGAACGCACAUUGCGCCCCUUGGUAUUCCAUGGGGCAUGCCUGUUCGAGCGUCAUUUGUACCUUCAAGCUUUGCUUGGUGUUGGGUGUUUGUCUCGCCUUUGCGUGUAGACUCGCCUAAAAAUAAUUGGCAGCCGGCGUAUUGAUUUCGGAGCGCAGUACAUCUCGCGCUUUGCACUCAUAACGACAGCGUCCAAAAGUACAUUUUACACUCUUGACCUCGGAUCAGGUAGGGAUACCCGCUGAACUUAAGCAUAUCAAUAAGCGGAGGA
Molecule: unclassified non-coding RNA, 336 nt
Filed under: soil metagenome
Description: partial contains 5.8S ribosomal RNA, internal transcribed spacer 2, and large subunit ribosomal RNA
Rfam family: 5.8S ribosomal RNA (bases 1-120)
Source: RNAcentral